CGUCACAUGUCCCCAGUCUAGGUUGCCCAUCCGCGUCCGAGUCAUCUUCCUCCCCAGUUUUUACUUCUUGAUUUAUUGUUUUUCUGAACAUAUGUGUGCAGAUCUAAGAAAAAAGAGAAGGGGAUGAAUCUGGAGGAAGAGCUUGGUGAAGAACAAGGUGAUCUCUCUCUCUCCAUCUCUCUGAAUUUAAGUCCACUUUCAUCUUUUUCAUUGCUACUAUUUCUCGUGGGAUAUUCAGGAGUUGAGAACACAUAUUUUGUAGGUGUUCGUAAUGGCAACAGUGGUAAUCAACAAUGAGAAAAAAGGACCGAGAUUGGAUUUGUACUAGGUAUGUUCCUCGUCUCUCUCAGUCCUUGUUCCAAUCCCCACCCUGAUGUAACUGUUUCUUCACAACUGUUGGAUGUGUCUUAGGAGAUGAAUGUCAUGGAUUGUUUAGAUUCUUGUUGAGCUAACCACUACUUAAACUAUUUGUCCCCUUGUUAAAGCUAAUCAUAGUAAUAGUUGGUGAUCGUCCGGCUGCUGUGUAUAGUGGCAACCAAAUUCAUGAUGAUGAGCUGAAUCAAACCCGUAGUAAAGUUAGUGUUAAAUCACACAUGUGUAUAGUCAAGUUCAGUACACUCAGGCAGUUUUGUCAGGUUGUAGAUUUAGUAUGACAAGAAAAUUACUUGAAAGAAAUAGGUACAGCCACUAUGAUAAAUAUCAGUAGUAUGCAUUGUAUAUGUAUGCUCAGUCAUGUUCAACUCAGUAUUUUUACCCUAUGUGUUACAGCAGGUGAUGCCUUAAUUUAGUUCAUGGCAUUAUGGCGGGACGCAUGUGGUAAUUGGUUACAAUGGUGGCUCAUGGAGUUAAAAUUUUGUGUUCUGUACAGAUUUGAGAUGAUAGAAAUUCAAAAUAGGUAAACCAAUAAGCCAUGUUUUUCUUUGGUGUUGCAGUUGUCAUGUGUCACAUAGUUAUAUAUGUGUGUUCAUAAUUAUAACUGCACUUUGUCUCUCUCUUUGCAAGUGUGAUACAUGCAUGUUCAUAAUUAUAUUUUAGUCCUAAUUUUCAGAUCAUGACCACAUCUUGUGGAGUUUCAAAAUCUAAUAUCUCUAAUUUCCGCAUCAAGCUAAGUGGUCCCAUUGUUUAGCAUUUAGGCACUUUCUAUUUGUUGCUUCAAUGUAAUGUUUAAGGUUGUUGCUUUAACAAUGUUUGAUCUAGAUUAUCAGUAAAACACACUCACAAUUAGGUGUUCUUCCUUGGUUAGCUGCCUGCAUUUCUUAUGUUUGAUUGGUUCAAGCCAGUAUGACUCUUUUUCUUUGCCUUUCACAGGGGUCCUUUGCUACUGUUGGUUGUGUCCUUGCUUCUUGGAGAGGAGGGAGGGCAGAUGACUUUGAUGCCAGAAAUAGGGGAGGUAAUGAAAAUACUAUGAUCUAUUAUGCUACAGCUGCUUAGCCAUUGGAUCUGGACUCCUUGAGCAAAUGUUUAUUCGUUUACUCAUUUCUGCUCUUCUUGGUGUAUGUGAAGUGAUACAAUUGUAUUCCAUUGGUUUCAACUUACUUUUCCUGAACUAAUUCUGUAAUGAGUACACAUUGGCCUCUCCAGAGGCCCUUCGUAAUCAUAUUCAAGUUAAACCACUGGAUAAAUACUGACAAGAUAACCUGAUCCUAAUGAGUUGGCUACAAAUUCUAAAUAUUAUUAGUUUGAGACAGAACCUAAGCAGCAAAAAUUGUUUGCUUUGGCUGAAGAUAUACGGUUUUCUUUCUCAAAGGGUAUGCAUGAUAGUUUGAUAAGAUUUGAUUGCUUAGGUUUUGUUUCAAUGCCAUUCACUGGUCUGAUGUUGUUUUUAGGAUUUUGAUAGUACCGAGUUUCCUUUCUUCAGGAACAUAAGGUCAAGUAUCUGUGUUGUUUGGUACCUUAUAGAAGAUGCAUUACGCAAUGGUCUCGGCAACUGCAGCGAGAUUUCACAGUCAUGAUUUUUCCAUAUUGGUAUGGAUUCUAAAACCUUAUAGGAAAAUGCCAUCUUUCACAAAAUGAAACUAUGGCUACAG
Molecule: long non-coding RNA, 2027 nt
Filed under: Triticum aestivum (bread wheat)
Lineage: Eukaryota; Viridiplantae; Streptophyta; Magnoliopsida; Poales; Poaceae
Description: long non-coding RNA (TAES_LNC010912)
Source: RNAcentral